UACGGAGGGUGCAAGCGUUGUUCGGAAUCAUUGGGCGUAAAGCGCGUGUAGGCGGCUAUCUAAGUCUGAUGUGAAAGUACGGGGCUUAACCCCGGAAGUGCAUUGGAUACUGGAUGGCUAGAGGACGAGAGAGGGAAGUGGAAUUCCUGGUGUAGGGGUGAAAUCCGUAGAUAUCAGGAGGAACAUCGGAGGCGGAGGCGGCUUCCUGGCUCGUUUCUGACGCUGAGACGCGAAAGCGCGGGGAGCAAACAGG
This 253-nucleotide ribosomal RNA is filed under the name uncultured bacterium. Its description in RNAcentral is "partial 16S ribosomal RNA". It matches the Rfam family "Bacterial small subunit ribosomal RNA", at positions 524 to 776 of the family's 1533-position model. The record is from RNAcentral.